This 478-nucleotide ribosomal RNA is filed under the name uncultured bacterium. RNAcentral describes it as "partial 16S ribosomal RNA". It matches the Rfam family "Bacterial small subunit ribosomal RNA", at positions 28 to 523 of the family's 1533-position model. The record is from RNAcentral.
GGCGAACGCUGGCGGCGUGCUUAACACAUGCAAGUCGAACGGUAAGGCCCUUCGGGGUACACGAGUGGCGAACGGGUGAGUAACACGUGGGUGAUCUGCCCUGCACUUCGGGAUAAGCCUGGGAAACUGGGUCUAAUACCGGAUAGGACCACUGCCUGCAUGGGUGGUGGUGGAAAGGUGUUGCGGUGUGGGGUGGGCCCGGGGCCUAUCAGCUUGUUGGUGGGGUGAUGGCCUACCAAGGCGACGACGGGGUGCCGGCCGGACAGGGGGGCCGGCCACACUGGGACUGAGAGACGGCCCAGACUCCUACGGGAGGCAGCAGUGGGGAAUAUUGCACAAUGGGCGCAAGCCUGAUGCAGCGACGCCGCGUGAGGGAUGACGGCCUUCGGGUUGUAAACCUCUUUCAGCACCGACGAAGCGCAAGUGACGGUAGGUGCAGAAGAAGGACCGGCCAACUACGUGCCAGCCGCCGCAGUAA